CACAAUCACAAUAAAUCCAUGAUUUAUUUUAGACUGUUGUGAAGAAUCAUGAUAAGAAAAUGUAGUCUAUUCCAGAUUAACAGAAUAGCUCUGAGUAGUCCUGAUGUGGCUAUGGCAAAUGGUUGUUGCCGGCGCGGCAGUUAGCCUAGUGGUUAGAGUGUAGGGACGGCAGGUAGCCUAGUGGUUAGAGUGUAGGGACGGCAGGUAGCCUAGUGGUUAGAGUGUCGGGACGGCAGGUAGCCUAGUGGUUAGAGUGUAGGGACGGCAGGUAGCCUAGUGGUUAGAGUGUAGGGACGGCAGGGUAGCCUAGUGGUUAGAGUGUAGGGACGGCAGGUAGGCUAGUGGUUAGAGUGUAGGGGCGGCAGGUAGCCUAGUGGUUAGAGCGUAGGGGCGGCAGGUAGCCUAGUGGUUAGAGUGUAGGGACGGCAGGGUAGCCUAGUGGUUAGAGUGUAGGGACGGCAGGUAGCCUAGUGGUUAGAGUGUAGGGACGGCAGGUAGCCUAGUGGUUAGAGUGUAGGGACGGCAGGUAGCCUAGUGGUUAGAGUGUAGCGGCGGCAGGUAGCCUAGUGGUUAGAGUGUAGGGACGGCAGGUAGCCUAGUGGUUAGAGUGUAGGGACGGCAGGGUAGCCUAGUGGUUAGAGUGUAGGGACGGCAGGUAGCCUAGUGGUUAGAGUGUAGGGACGGCAGGUAGCCUAGUGGUUAGAGCGUAGGGGCGGCAGGUAGCCUAGUGGUUAGGACUAGCAACCGAAAGGUUGCAAGAUCGAAUCCCCGAGCUGACAAGAUACAAAUAUGUCAUUCUGCCCCUGAACUAGGCAGUUAACCCACUGUUCCUAGGCCGUCAUUGAAAAUAAGAAUUUGUUCUUUAACUGACUUGCCG
Molecule: long non-coding RNA, 877 nt
Organism: Oncorhynchus tshawytscha (Chinook salmon)
Lineage: Eukaryota; Metazoa; Chordata; Actinopteri; Salmoniformes; Salmonidae
Source: Ensembl